GUUGCAAUACUCUGUGUCUACUCUCUAACGCGUAAGACAGAAACCCUAACGCCUAAACCUAACGCCUCUCUCGUCGACCUCCAGUAGUCCAACACCAGCAGUAACCUAAUGCCCCUCUCGUCGACUUCUAGCAGUCCAACACCAGCAGUAACCUAACGCCCCUCUCGUCGACUUUCAGCAGUCCAGCACCAACAGGAGAAGAAGUAGAGAUGGAAGUUGGAACUGGAUAAUGUGGGACGCAGGAACAGUUGCAGAAAACAAAUGUGUAUAUUUUUAAAAUGGACGGUGUUCGUUUUAAUACUCUGCUUUGGGUUUGGGAUGUGUUGUAGCGUACAAUUUAGUGAUUUACAAAUGUGUUCUGCUUUUUCACUCAUUGUUAUGUAGGCAGACCAGCAGUUUCGAUUUCUACAUGUAAACUCAAUGUGUAAUUUUGAUUUUUAAAUUUGUAUGCUAGACUGUUAGCAAACAA
Long non-coding RNA from Nicotiana tabacum (common tobacco), 469 nucleotides. RefSeq lists it as uncharacterized. The record is from RefSeq and is a predicted model, not a curated record. Lineage: Eukaryota; Viridiplantae; Streptophyta; Magnoliopsida; Solanales; Solanaceae.